CCCUUAGAUGUUCUGGGCAGCACGCGCGCUACAAUGGUCUUCGCAAACGGAUGCAUUCUCGAAGGAGAAUGCCAAUCUUGGAAUCUAUGCCUUGGUCGGGACAGUUGCUUGCAAUUUUUUGACUCGAACCAGGAAUUCCUUGUAAUCGUGAUUCAUCACAUCACGAUGAAUACGUCCCUGCCCUUUGUACACACCGCCCGUCGCUCCUACCGAUCGAAGAGUUAGGUGAAUUGUUUUGAUCGAUAAGAUUUGACUAUGGUCAACUCUCGUUGUGAAAUUCUGUGAAUCUGACUGUUUAGAGGAAGGAAAAGUCGUAACA
RNAcentral lists this ribosomal RNA (319 nucleotides) under uncultured eukaryote. RNAcentral's name for it is "partial 18S ribosomal RNA". It matches the Rfam family "Eukaryotic small subunit ribosomal RNA", at positions 1470 to 1796 of the family's 1831-position model. The record is from RNAcentral.